This 426-nucleotide ribosomal RNA is filed under the name Galathea pubipes. RNAcentral describes it as "partial 16S ribosomal RNA". The stretch from base 294 to 426 matches the Rfam family "Bacterial large subunit ribosomal RNA", at positions 2473 to 2606 of the family's 2925-position model. The record is from RNAcentral. Lineage: Eukaryota; Metazoa; Arthropoda; Malacostraca; Decapoda; Galatheidae.
UUUUAAUUGGAAACUCGUAUGAAGGGUUGGACAAAGGAUAAUCUGUUUUUAUUUUUAUUUUUGAAUUUAUCUUUUAAGUGAAAAGACUUGAAUAUAUUUAAGGGACGAUAAGACCCUAUAAAUCUUUAUAUUUAACUUAAUGUUUAUAUUGAUUUUUAAUGUAAAUAUAAAAUAAAGAUUAACAAUAUUAUGUUGGGGCGACAAGAAUAAAAAAUAAACUGUUCUAAAAAUAAACAAAGUUAUUUGAUUAGUAGUAGAUCCUUUUUAAAGAUAUAAGUUUAAGUUACUUUAGGGAUAACAGCGUUAUUUCUUUUGAGAGUUCAAAUCGAAAAAGAAGUUUGCGACCUCGAUGUUGAAUUAAAAUUUCUUUAUAGUGCAGCAGUUAUACAAGAAAGUCUGUUCGACUUUUAAAAUUUUACGUGAUCU